UACAUGUGGUGCAAGCGUUGUUCGGAAUUACUGGGCAUAAAGGGUGCGUAGGCGGCAUUGCACGUCUGGGGUGAAAUCCUGUGGCCCAACCACAGGUCGGCCUCGGAUACGGCGGUGCUGGAGUGCGUGAGGGGUGAUCGGAACGCGUGGUGUAGCGGUGAAAUGCGUAGAUAUCACGCGGAAGGCCAACGGCGAAGGCAGAUCACUGGCGCGCAACUGACGCUGAGUGCACGAAAGCGUGGGGAGCAAACAGG
RNAcentral lists this ribosomal RNA (254 nucleotides) under uncultured bacterium. RNAcentral's name for it is "partial 16S ribosomal RNA". It matches the Rfam family "Bacterial small subunit ribosomal RNA", at positions 524 to 776 of the family's 1533-position model. The record is from RNAcentral.